AGGGCAAGUCUGGUGCCAGCAGCCGCGGUAAUUCCAGCUCCAAUAGCGUAUAUUAAAGUUGUUGCAGUUAAAAAGCUCGUAGUUGAACCUUGGGUCUGGCUGGCCGGUCCGCCUCACCGCGAGUACUGGUCCGGCUGGACCUUUCCUUCUGGGGAACCUCAUGGCCUUCACUGGCUGUGGGGGGAACCAGGACUUUUACUGUGAAAAAAUUAGAGUGUUCAAAGCAGGCCUUUGCUCGAAUACAUUAGCAUGGAAUAAUAGAAUAGGACGUGUGGUUCUAUUUUGUUGGUUUCUAGGACCGCCGUAAUGAUUAAUAGGGAUAGUCGGGGGCGUCGGUAUUCAGCUGUCAGAGGUGAAAUUCUUGGAUUUGCUGAAGACUAACUACUGCGAAAGCAUUCGCCAAGGAUGUUUUCAUUAAUCAGGGAACGAAAGUUAGGGGAUCGAAGACGAUCAGAUACCGUCGUAGUCUUAACCAUAAACUAUGCCGACUAGGGAUCGGACGGGAUUCUAUGAUGACCCGUUCGGCACCUUACGGGAAAC
Molecule: ribosomal RNA, 540 nt
Filed under: uncultured Penicillium
Lineage: Eukaryota; Fungi; Ascomycota; Eurotiomycetes; Eurotiales; Aspergillaceae
Description: SSU rRNA
Rfam family: Eukaryotic small subunit ribosomal RNA
Source: RNAcentral